Long non-coding RNA from Xenopus laevis (African clawed frog), 1927 nucleotides. RefSeq lists it as uncharacterized. The transcript is spliced from 3 exons. The record is from RefSeq and is a predicted model, not a curated record. NCBI's taxonomy places the organism in Eukaryota, Metazoa, Chordata, Amphibia, Anura, Pipidae.
AAAAAGAAAAAAUGACCAAUUGAAAAGUUGCUUAGAACUGGCCAUUCUGUAAUAUACUAAAGUUGCCCUUAGACGUUUAGAUUUAUGGUUGCCACCUGUCCGGUUUUGACCCUUAUAGCCCGAUUUUUUUAUUUUUUUUUGAAGGGCUGGAUUCCCUAUCGAUUUCGAUUCCCAAGCCUGUCAGCUGAGAGUCAAAGGGAUUAAUAUCCAGGAAAAUCAGUAUGUGAAGGCUCUAGAGAAGUUCUAUGAGCAGGUUAUGCAGGAAAUUCUGCGGCACAUCAACUUUGAUGUGGUAAAGGUGGUCCUUGUUGCCUCUCCCGGAUUUGUUCGGGAGCAGUUUUGCGAAUUCCUUUUCCUCCGAGCCGUGAAACAGGAUCUGAAAUUACUGCUUGAAAACUGCGGCAAAUUCCUACAAGUGCACAGCUCAUCCGGGCACAAGUACUCUCUCACAGGUAAUUCCAAUCAUUCACCAGUGGGGUGCACCCUUUGGUCUGAGGGCCAAGCAUUCAGUUCUGCCUCAGCCACAAAAAGAUCAGGGAAAACCAUGCAAAGCCUUUAACUCUGGGCCACAUGCAACGCCUAGUGUCAAAGCCUUCUCCAUCUGAUCCAAACUCAUCAAGUCCAACUGGUAUAGCACCAAUGUAUGGGCCUGGGUAUAUGCCCAACACAGGUGCAGAAAGUAGAUUCCAUCUUGAACAUUCUAAAUUCUGACUGGCAGAAGCCAAAGCUCACAGUGGAAUUGGAUAAGUACUUCACACUGUCGGUGGAACAGGUCAAAUGUGCUGCUUCUGAGACACGUUAUUGCACGUCAGUGGCUAAUUUAACCCCAAUAUGUUGAAAAAAAAAGAGUUGAAAGAGUCCGAUGUUCAGAAUUCACUUUGCUGCCCUCUAGUGACCACAGGGUGUAAGUGCAGUCUGGAUACUUUGGCGCUAGAGUCCAGCAGGUCUGGUACCUACAAUGCAGUGGGAUUGCAUGGCUAGCACUAGCGGAUAAUUAUAUGCAGGUGAAGUGAAGGUGUAAAGCUGGUCAUAGACAUGCAGAUUUUAGCCUUCUAUCCGAUGAACGAUCAUACGUCACAAUCUUCUGACUUUCCACUAAUCGUUCAGAUUAAAUAAAGUAGUAAAAGAACAAAUCUUUUCUGUGUUCUGCCAGUGACAGCAAUCGUAUGGAAGGUAUGGCCAACAAAUAGUAGUGACAGUCACCCACUGAUAUCGUCAGGCAAUACAUGUAGAAAAAUUAUUGUUAGCAGCCAGAAAUAUUCUAGCCUGAUCGACUAAACAAUCGAUAGCCAUGGUACAAAAAAUGUUGGGAUGAUCCACACACUGUUCGAAAAUCAUACGAACCUUUGAUUCGUAUGCGUCUAUGGGCAGCUUAAUUGCUUUCUGUUGUUAGUGCUGGUACGGGGAGGGGAGCCCUCACUCCUCUCCUACUUCCUGCCCUCAGAUAGUUUCAUUAUAGUUUAAAGUAUAUUUUAUGCUACUUCGGAUACAGGGAUCACUGACUGAGCAACUACACAGCUGCCCAUACACCAUCAGCUGCACUCAGACUUGCACUCGAUCAUACCAUAUAGAGGACUUAGAGACAGAUUGUCUUCCAGAUUAAUAUCAGAUAAGAGCGUGUCUUUCUAUGCACUAAGACUUCUUAGUAAAGAGUCACACACUCCUGCAAUAAAGAGUUGGUGGCUCCACAAAAGGAUGAACAACAAUGCUUUUUAGUUUCAAGUGAGUCAGAGUUGGACUUCCAAAGGGUUCUGGUAAUGGACUAUUAGCACUUACUCACUACAAGCCUCAAGUCCCUAACAGGUGAGGAAUUACACAUGGCAAUUCUUCACUACAGGGGGUAUGAGUCAAAUUUUUACUGAGUCACCGUUUAAAAUGAUACUGUCAUGAGAAAACAUGUUUUUUUUCAAAAUGCAUCAAUAAUAGU